RNAcentral lists this small RNA (397 nucleotides) under Pan troglodytes (chimpanzee). RNAcentral's name for it is "processed transcript". Lineage: Eukaryota; Metazoa; Chordata; Mammalia; Primates; Hominidae. The record is from RNAcentral.
AAAGCUAAUGCUUAUGUGCUUUAGGAGCCAGUGCUGAUCACAUGCCUUGCCUACCUAAUAUCAGUUCUCCUGCUCUGCAUAGCAGGAGAAGGAGCUGGAGUAGUGUUGGUUACGACUAUGGCUAUGUCUGCGUGGAGUUUUCACUCUUGGAAGAUGCCAUCGGAUGCAUGGAGGCCAACCAGGGAACUCUAAUGAUCCAGGACAAAGAAGUUACCCUGGAGUAUGUAUCAAGCCUGGAUUUUUGGUACUGCAAACGAUGUAAGGCAAACAUUGGUGGGCACCGAUCUUCCUGUUCAUUCUGCAAGAACCCAAGAGAAGUGACAGAGGCCAAGCAAGAAUUAAUAACCUACCCUCAGCCUCAGAAAACAUCCAUACCAGCACCAUUGGAAAAACAGCC